This 64-nucleotide transfer RNA is filed under the name Hebius metusia (Wa Shan keelback). Its description in RNAcentral is "Hebius metusium (Wa Shan keelback) tRNA-Thr". Lineage: Eukaryota; Metazoa; Chordata; Lepidosauria; Squamata; Natricidae. The record is from RNAcentral.
GCUCAAGUAGCUUACCAUAAAGCAUUGUUCUUGUAAACCAAAGCCGGACUAUGUCCCUAGAGCA